GUGCUCACUUCAGCAGCACAUACAUUAAAAUUGGAAUGAAACAGAUGAUUAGCACAUCCUCUGUGCAAAGCUGACACACAAAUUCAUGAAGGGUUCCAUAUUUUU
Molecule: small nuclear RNA, 105 nt
Filed under: Moschus moschiferus (Siberian musk deer)
Lineage: Eukaryota; Metazoa; Chordata; Mammalia; Artiodactyla; Moschidae
Source: RNAcentral